RNAcentral lists this ribosomal RNA (1541 nucleotides) under Bordetella bronchiseptica. RNAcentral's name for it is "bacterial SSU rRNA". It matches the Rfam family "Bacterial small subunit ribosomal RNA". Lineage: Bacteria; Pseudomonadati; Pseudomonadota; Betaproteobacteria; Burkholderiales; Alcaligenaceae. The record is from RNAcentral.
AGAGAUUGAACUGAAGAGUUUGAUCCUGGCUCAGAUUGAACGCUGGCGGGAUGCUUUACACAUGCAAGUCGGACGGCAGCACGGGCUUCGGCCUGGUGGCGAGUGGCGAACGGGUGAGUAAUGUAUCGGAACGUGCCCAGUAGCGGGGGAUAACUACGCGAAAGCGUGGCUAAUACCGCAUACGCCCUACGGGGGAAAGCGGGGGACCUUCGGGCCUCGCACUAUUGGAGCGGCCGAUAUCGGAUUAGCUAGUUGGUGGGGUAACGGCCUACCAAGGCGACGAUCCGUAGCUGGUUUGAGAGGACGACCAGCCACACUGGGACUGAGACACGGCCCAGACUCCUACGGGAGGCAGCAGUGGGGAAUUUUGGACAAUGGGGGCAACCCUGAUCCAGCCAUCCCGCGUGUGCGAUGAAGGCCUUCGGGUUGUAAAGCACUUUUGGCAGGAAAGAAACGGCACGGGCUAAUAUCCUGUGCAACUGACGGUACCUGCAGAAUAAGCACCGGCUAACUACGUGCCAGCAGCCGCGGUAAUACGUAGGGUGCAAGCGUUAAUCGGAAUUACUGGGCGUAAAGCGUGCGCAGGCGGUUCGGAAAGAAAGAUGUGAAAUCCCAGGGCUUAACCUUGGAACUGCAUUUUUAACUACCGGGCUAGAGUGUGUCAGAGGGAGGUGGAAUUCCGCGUGUAGCAGUGAAAUGCGUAGAUAUGCGGAGGAACACCGAUGGCGAAGGCAGCCUCCUGGGAUAACACUGACGCUCAUGCACGAAAGCGUGGGAGCAAACAGGAUUAGAUACCCUGGUAGUCCACGCCCUAAACGAUGUCAACUAGCUGUUGGGGCCUUCGGGCCUUGGUAGCGCAGCUAACGCGUGAAGUUGACCGCCUGGGGAGUACGGUCGCAAGAUUAAAACUCAAAGGAAUUGACGGGGACCCGCACAAGCGGUGGAUGAUGUGGAUUAAUUCGAUGCAACGCGAAAAACCUUACCUACCCUUGACAUGUCUGGAAUCCCGAAGAGAUUUGGGAGUGCUCGCAAGAGAACCGGAACACAGGUGCUGCAUGGCUGUCGUCAGCUCGUGUCGUGAGAUGUUGGGUUAAGUCCCGCAACGAGCGCAACCCUUGUCAUUAGUUGCUACGAAAGGGCACUCUAAUGAGACUGCCGGUGACAAACCGGAGGAAGGUGGGGAUGACGUCAAGUCCUCAUGGCCCUUAUGGGUAGGGCUUCACACGUCAUACAAUGGUCGGGACAGAGGGUCGCCAACCCGCGAGGGGGAGCCAAUCCCAGAAACCCGAUCGUAGUCCGGAUCGCAGUCUGCAACUCGACUGCGUGAAGUCGGAAUCGCUAGUAAUCGCGGAUCAGCAUGUCGCGGUGAAUACGUUCCCGGGUCUUGUACACACCGCCCGUCACACCAUGGGAGUGGGUUUUACCAGAAGUAGUUAGCCUAACCGCAAGGGGGGCGAUUACCACGGUAGGAUUCAUGACUGGGGUGAAGUCGUAACAAGGUAGCCGUAUCGGAAGGUGCGGCUGGAUCACCUCCUUUAAGA